Molecule: ribosomal RNA, 253 nt
Filed under: uncultured bacterium
Lineage: Bacteria
Description: partial 16S ribosomal RNA
Rfam family: Bacterial small subunit ribosomal RNA
Source: RNAcentral
UACGUAGGGUCCGAGCGUUGUCCGGAAUUAUUGGGCGUAAAGGGCUCGUAGGCGGUUUGUCGCGUCUGCUGUGAAAACCUAAGGCUCAACCUUGGGCUUGCAGUGGGUACGGGCAGACUAGAGUGCGGUAGGGGUGACUGGAAUUCCUGGUGUAGCGGUGGAAUGCGCAGAUAUCAGGAGGAACACCGAUGGCGAAGGCAGGUCACUGGGCCGCAACUGACGCUGAGGAGCGAAAGCAUGGGGAGCGAACAGG